GAUGAAGAACGCAGCGAAAUGCGAUAAGUAAUGUGAAUUGCAGAAUUCAGUGAAUCAUCGAGUCUUUGAACGCACAUUGCGCCCCCUGGUAUUCCGGGGGGCAUGCCUGUCCGAGCGUCAUUGCUGCCCUCAAGCACGGCUUGUGUGUUGGGCCGUCGUCCCCCUCCUAGGGGACGGGCCCGAAAGGCAGCGGCGGCACCGCGUCCGGUCCUCGAGCGUAUGGGGCUUCGUCACCCGCUCCGUAGGCCCGGCCGGCGCUUGCCGACGACCAUCAAUCUCUUUCUCCAGGUUGACCUCGGAUCAGGUAGUGAUACCCGCUGAACUUAAGCAUAUCAAUAAGCGGAGGA
Molecule: unclassified non-coding RNA, 347 nt
Filed under: soil metagenome
Description: partial contains 5.8S ribosomal RNA, internal transcribed spacer 2, and large subunit ribosomal RNA
Rfam family: 5.8S ribosomal RNA (bases 1-120)
Source: RNAcentral